UUUGAUGUUCGGAAAUUCGAUGAAUCGUGCCCUAACGUGCUGGGUUUCGAUUUCUCGUUCGACUAAAUAGCCAAAUAUCCUCUUAAAGCUUCAAAGUAUGGUAUCAUUAAACUAUAAGGCGAUCUUGGUUUCGAUGGUUUAGAGUAUCGUGUCCUAACGUGCUGGAUAUGAUAUUCCUUCGGAACAAGAGAAUCUUAUAUUUCAAUUCACGUUAUCAGAGUUUCUUUUAAGGAUCGUAUUUUUAAAACUCUUCAAAUUUUCAAUUUUCGACACUAAGACACUGAUUAAUCAACUAGGUACCAAUUUUGGGCGUAUCGAGGGUGCUAAUCCUUCCUCGUGCGUAACCGACUCCCGAACUCAUUUUUCUGAAUUUCGUAGACCAAAAUCGUUGUUUUAAUAAAAUUAAAUCAUUUAUUAAAAACAACCACUUUUUGAGGUGACCCGAUCACACCUCGUCAAAAAAGGAUUGGUGGCGACUCCCGUUUUCUUUCUUUU
RNAcentral lists this long non-coding RNA (495 nucleotides) under Gossypium barbadense (sea-island cotton). RNAcentral describes it as "long non-coding RNA (GBAR_LNC016616)". The record is from RNAcentral. Lineage: Eukaryota; Viridiplantae; Streptophyta; Magnoliopsida; Malvales; Malvaceae.